This 450-nucleotide ribosomal RNA is filed under the name uncultured bacterium. RNAcentral's name for it is "partial 16S ribosomal RNA". It matches the Rfam family "Bacterial small subunit ribosomal RNA", at positions 354 to 796 of the family's 1533-position model. The record is from RNAcentral.
GUGGGGAAUCUUCCGCAAUGGACGAAAGUCUGACGGAGCGACGCCGCGUGAGUGAAGAAGGCCUUCGGGUCGUAAAGCUCUGUCAUCAGGGACGAACGGCCGGUGGAGUGGAAAGCCACCGGAUUGACGGUACCUGAGAAGGAAGCCACGGCUAACUACGUGCCAGCAGCCGCGGUAAUACGUAGGUGGCAAGCGUUGUCCGGAAUUAUUGGGCGUAAAUCGCGCGCAGGUGGGAUCUUAAGUCCAUUUUGAAAGUUCGGAGCUCAACUCCGUGAUGGGAUGGAAACUGGGAUUCUUGAGUACCGGAGAGGAAAGCGGAAUGCCCCGUGUAGCGGUGAAAUGCGUAGAUAUGGGGAGGAACACCAGUGGCGAAGGCGGCUUUCUGGACGGUGUCUGACACUGAGGCGCGAAAGCUAGGGGAGCGAACGGGAUUAGAUACCCUGGUAGUCC